UGUGCUUACAAAUGGGUAUAAUAAGAAAUUGAAUGUUACAUAUAUUUUUGUCACAACAAAAAAAUACAAAAGGAUAACAUCACAGUAUGGGAUUUUAAAGAUUAAAAAAAUAAAAUUUUAACGAUAAAAAAGCAAAAGAAAAAAAAGUAGAAGGAAGGUAAAUAAGAUCUAAGAAUGUUCCAGGACCUUUGUAUUAUUUGGCAUGAAGUAAAAAUACAAAUUAACCCAUAGACUCUAAUCAAUUAAGUGUGAUACUUACUAUGUGUCAGCUGAACUGGGCCACAGCACACCCAGGUAUUUGGUCAAACGUUAUUCUGGGUGUGUCUGUGAAGGUGUUUGUGGAUGUGAUUGACAUUUGAAUCAACAGACCCCGGGAAGUGGAUCACCCUCCCUAAUGUGGGUGAGCCUCAGCUCAUCAGCUGAUGGCCUGAUGGGACCAAAAGGCAGGCCCUUCCUUCAGUGAGGGCGCUUCUACCUAUCUGAUGACCCAGGCAGGUGACCUCUCCCUGCCUUCACGCUUGAACUGAGAAGCGGCUCUUCUUGGGUGGUGAGGCUGCCGGCUUUCACACUGGAAUUCACACCAUCCGAUGAUCUGGUUCUCGGGCCUUCAGACUCAGACAGGAACUACCUGUUGGUUCCCCUGGGCCUCCACCUGGCCUCCAGCAGAUCUUGAGACUUCUCAGCCUCCAUAACCACGGGAGCCAGUUCCCCAUAAGAAACAUAUCUGUCUGUCUGUCUGUCUGUCUGUGUCCCUGUUGGUUCUGUUUCUCUGGAAACAUGGAUUCUACGUUAUGAAAAAAAAAUGAGUGUACAACAUCCAAAUUAAA
This 827-nucleotide long non-coding RNA is filed under the name Marmota monax (woodchuck). The record is from RNAcentral. Lineage: Eukaryota; Metazoa; Chordata; Mammalia; Rodentia; Sciuridae.